UCACCGUAUGGGGAUGGAGUCCCCCGAUAACCGCCCUAACCGGCUGAUGACUCCUACAAGCGC
This 63-nucleotide non-coding RNA is filed under the name Allobosea sp. RNAcentral describes it as "Bosea sp. Fluoride sequence". It matches the Rfam family "Fluoride riboswitch aptamer (crcB RNA motif)". Lineage: Bacteria; Pseudomonadati; Pseudomonadota; Alphaproteobacteria; Hyphomicrobiales; Alloboseaceae. The record is from RNAcentral.